Molecule: ribosomal RNA, 253 nt
Filed under: uncultured bacterium
Lineage: Bacteria
Description: partial 16S ribosomal RNA
Rfam family: Bacterial small subunit ribosomal RNA
Source: RNAcentral
UACGUAGGCAGCGAGCGUUGUUCGGAAUUACUGGGCGUAAAGAGUGUGUAGGCGGCGCUCUAAGCUCGGUGUGAAAUCUCUCGGCUUAACUGGGAGGGUGCGCCGGAAACUGGAGUGCUCGAACGUGGGAGAGGAAAGCGGAAUUCCUGGUGUAGCGGUGAAAUGCGUAGAUAUCAGGAGGAACACCUGCGGUGUAGACGGCUUUCUGGACCAUUGUUGACGCUGAGACACGAAAGCGUGGGUAGCAAACAGG